CCUACGGGGGGCAGCAGUGAGGAAUAUUGGUCAAUGGGCGCGAGCCUGAACCAGCCAAGUCGCGUGAGGGAGGAAGGUACAGCGUAUCGUAAACCUCUUUUGUCAGGGAACAAAGGCGGGGACGUGUCCCCGGAUGAGUGUACCUGACGAAAAAGCAUCGGCUAACUCCGUGCCAGCAGCCGCGGUAAUACGGAGGAUGCGAGCGUUAUCCGGAUUUAUUGGGUUUAAAGGGUGCGCAGGCGGUCUGUUAAGUCAGCGGUCAAAGCCCGGGGCUCAACCCCGGCCCGCCGUUGAAACUGGCAGUCUCGAGUGGGAGAGAAGUAUGCGGAAUGCGCGGUGUAGCGGUGAAAUGCAUAGAUAUCGCGCAGAACUCCGAUUGCGAAGGCAGCAUGCCGGCUCCACACUGACGCUGAGGCACGAAAGCGUGGGUAUCGAACAGGAUUAGAUACCCGAGUAGUC
This 459-nucleotide ribosomal RNA is filed under the name uncultured bacterium. RNAcentral describes it as "partial 16S ribosomal RNA". It matches the Rfam family "Bacterial small subunit ribosomal RNA", at positions 338 to 795 of the family's 1533-position model. The record is from RNAcentral.